This 384-nucleotide ribosomal RNA is filed under the name uncultured bacterium. RNAcentral describes it as "bacterial SSU rRNA". It matches the Rfam family "Bacterial small subunit ribosomal RNA", at positions 42 to 454 of the family's 1533-position model. The record is from RNAcentral.
UCAGGCAUAACACAUGCAAGUCGAGCGAGGACUUCGGUCCUAGCGGCGGACGGGUGAGUAACGCGUGGGAACGUGCCCUUUGCUACGGAAUAGCCCUGGGAAACUGGGAGUAAUACCGUAUGUGCCCUUUGGGGGGAAAGAUUUAUCGGCAAAGGAUCGGCCCGCGUUGGAUUAGGUAGUUGGUGGGGUAAUGGCCUACCAAGCCGACGAUCCAUAGCUGGUUUGAGAGGAUGAUCAGCCACACUGGGACUGAGACACGGCCCAGACUCCUACGGGAGGCAGCAGUGGGGAAUCUUAGAAAGGGGGCGCAAGCCUGAUCUAGCCAUGCCGCGUGAGCGAAGGAGGCCUUAGGGUUGUAAAGCUCUUCAGGGGGGAAGAUAAUGA